RNAcentral lists this ribosomal RNA (811 nucleotides) under Alternaria sp. RNAcentral's name for it is "SSU rRNA". It matches the Rfam family "Eukaryotic small subunit ribosomal RNA", at positions 45 to 872 of the family's 1831-position model. The record is from RNAcentral. Lineage: Eukaryota; Fungi; Ascomycota; Dothideomycetes; Pleosporales; Pleosporaceae.
GAAACGGCAUGUCUAGUAUAGCAUUAUACCGUGAAACUGCGAAUGGCUCAUUAAAUCAGUUAUCGUUUAUUUGAUAAUACCUUACUACUUGGAUAACCGUGGUAAUUCUAGAGCUAAUACAUGCUGAAAAUCCCGACUUCGGAAGGGAUGUGUUUAUUAGAUAAAAAACCAAUGCCCUUCGGGGCUUUUUGGUGAUUCAUGAUAACUUUACGGAUCGCAUAGCCUUGCGCUGGCGACGGUUCAUUCAAAUUUCUGCCCUAUCAACUUUCGAUGGUAAGGUAUUGGCUUACCAUGGUUUCAACGGGUAACGGGGAAUUAGGGUUCGAUUCCGGAGAGGGAGCCUGAGAAACGGCUACCACAUCCAAGGAAGGCAGCAGGCGCGCAAAUUACCCAAUCCCGACACGGGGAGGUAGUGACAAUAAAUACUGAUACAGGGCUCUUUUGGGUCUUGUAAUUGGAAUGAGUACAAUUUAAACCUCUUAACGAGGAACAAUUGGAGGGCAAGUCUGGUGCCAGCAGCCGCGGUAAUUCCAGCUCCAAUAGCGUAUAUUAAAGUUGUUGCAGUUAAAAAGCUCGUAGUUGAAACUUGGGCCUGGCUGGCGGGUCCGCCUCACCGCGUGCACUCGUCCGGCCGGGCCUUCCUUCUGAAGAACCUCAUGCCCUUCACUGGGCGUGCUGGGGAAUCAGGACUUUUACUUUGAAAAAAUUAGAGUGUUCAAAGCAGGCCUUUGCUCGAAUACGUUAGCAUGGAAUAAUAAAAUAGGGCGUGCGUUUCUAUUUUGUUGGUUUCUAGAGACGCCGCAAUGAUUAA